CCGACCUGUCUUGUCUUGUCUCGUCAUGUUCGAAAUUGCAGUGACCAACACCGUUAAAUAUGCAGCCAACAAGUUGAAUAAGUUUCAACCAAGUUUUAGUACAUUACACCUCCCAUUAUAGACUAGAUUCUAUAGUAUACGACCUUACAUCUCCGCAGCAAAUGAUUUACCACAGCCACAGGUUUGUGUAGCAUUUGGGUUCUUGAAAUUAAAGCCUCCCCCAAUCAGUGCAUCACUGUAAUCCAGUUGCAUACCAUAAAGGAAGAGAAGGCUUUUUGGAUCACAAACUGCAUGGUCAGAACAAAAGAAAAAGAUCAGCAGCAAAAUAGAAAAGACAAAAAGAGCAGCAGGGCAAAGAAAUAGCAUCUAAAGGUGAAAUUUCAUAUUGGUCAUCGAAUUUCACUGAACUUAAACUUGAUUAGAAUUUGAUCGACCAAUCUAUGUUUGUUAGUCAAAAAAGACGUGGCAGUUUUAGUUAUUUGCCAACUAGGCUGCCAACUAGGCUGCCGGUCAGCUUUUUCUUAGUCAAACUAAUAGACAUAGGCAAGAUCGCCAAAUUGUAUCAAACAUUAAGUCCGGUCUGAUUGUAAAAAAGUUCAAGUUCAGCUACCAACUUGGAACAAAAUAAAGUUAAUGACGAACAUGAAAAUUUGCUAAAAGUUCAGUGCUCAGUGUAUAGUUUUAUACCUGUUGUGUGUAUUAGCUUUGCUGAUAAUGGAAAAACUUCAAUGAAGGCAUCUUGUGAUAUAGCAUAACAUGGAACGAACAAAAGAAAUUUCAAAGAAGUAUUUAUUAUGUCUUUAACUUCCAAAUACUAACUUCCUCAACAAGUAUACAGCACAUAGAAAUUUCAAGUAGGGACUCAAAUUCAAGGUUUUGAUUGCACCAUCGUUAUCAAAAAUAGUAAUGCUAGAGAAAAGAAAAAAAGAAUGAACUCUUUUACCAUAGCCAUUCUUCAUAAACGAUGAAGUAACAAUUGCACAAUAUGCAAUACUCUUCAUGCUGUUAGUAAUCUGAUGCUCAAAUGCUAUAUUUAUGUAUAGAUCUUAUCAAUCAAAAUGUAUCCUUUCAUUUGUUCUACAUGUUAAUGCCCAAUUCAAACAACUUUUGCUUCAAGAAAUUUGGAUUAGUUCAUUAAGAAGAUGGACUUGUUUCAAGCCCACAUUGUGAGUCAGAUGCUAUCCCCCAUUCCAAUAUCUGAUAAAUCAAACCUUUUAUACUACAAAUUAUAGAAGGCCAAUUUCUAGAGAAAACAAUAUCAGGUUCAGGUUUGCAUUUUAAAGGUAUUAUCCUCACUAAUCACCAAAUGCAGGAUAUUAGGGAAAGGAAAGGAUAGCUCAUUUUCCAUGAUUAAACAUAAUAUCCUGUCACUGUACUGUAGGGCCAUAAGGAAAGAAUUCGUAUUUAUUUUUUUCAUCGACUGGAUGCCAUUGUUUACUGCCCAACUAACACCGACAGCAGGUUCCACUCAAGUACAGACAAGUGCAACAGGACAGAAGAAUUCAAUUUCAAAUUCCUCAUAUGGAAUUAAAUGAACUUGCAGUCAUACCUAUAACAAAUCCAUUGUAUUUGAUAAUAGAAUCAUCGGGUCUAGCGUUUUCUCUGUUCUCAAAAUCCAUAGUAUAAGACAUGCCAGAGCAUCCUCCUUGUUUGACACCAAUUCUUAGACAUAAAUCUUCACUUCUUUCAGUCCUCAACUUAUUGAAGUGCUUCAAUGCAUUGUCGGUCAAUGAAAUUGCAGGUGCAAGUGCUCCAGAUGUAGGUGGUGCUAGAACACAAAAGCAGGUUAUUAAGAAACUCAAAAACAACAGAGAAAGGCAGAAUUCCAGCACAUUAGCAUACAGGUAACCAUAAGUUCGUCCAUGCAGAACUGAUAACAUGUAAACUAUGCAUAAACAAAUGGCUUAAAU
Molecule: long non-coding RNA, 1910 nt
Filed under: Olea europaea (common olive)
Lineage: Eukaryota; Viridiplantae; Streptophyta; Magnoliopsida; Lamiales; Oleaceae
Description: long non-coding RNA (OEUR_LNC013900)
Source: RNAcentral